GGGGGAAUAGCUCAGUGGUAGAGCACAUGCUUAGCAUGCAUGAGGUCCUGGGUUCAAUCCCCAGUACUUCCA
This 72-nucleotide transfer RNA is filed under the name Camelus bactrianus (Bactrian camel). It matches the Rfam family "tRNA". From Rfam's summary of the family: Transfer RNA (tRNA) molecules are approximately 80 nucleotides in length. RNAcentral also lists the same sequence under 2 other names. Lineage: Eukaryota; Metazoa; Chordata; Mammalia; Artiodactyla; Camelidae. The record is from Rfam by way of RNAcentral.